RNAcentral lists this long non-coding RNA (236 nucleotides) under Mytilus galloprovincialis (Mediterranean mussel). The record is from RNAcentral. Lineage: Eukaryota; Metazoa; Mollusca; Bivalvia; Mytilida; Mytilidae.
GAUGGGGACGCUGAAGUGCGAUGGUCCACGCCGAAGUAAGAUGGUCCUUUCGCUGAAGUGCGAUGGUUUUGUGUAUGACGUUUGAAUAAUAUGACGUUUUCAAAAUACAACAUGGAUUCGCAGGCAGGAGAAUAGGGUUUUGUAGAUGAAGGUUUCAUGCUAACAAAGAAAAGUAAGGAAAUAAGAAAGAAACAAACAAUUCAAGUCCCGAACAGUUUUAAGCAUUACAUGUUGAG